Molecule: ribosomal RNA, 618 nt
Filed under: Amauroderma subrugosum
Lineage: Eukaryota; Fungi; Basidiomycota; Agaricomycetes; Polyporales; Polyporaceae
Description: eukaryotic LSU rRNA
Rfam family: 5.8S ribosomal RNA (bases 216-369)
Source: RNAcentral
UUCCCGUAGGGGGUACCUGCGGAGGGAUCAUUACCGAGUUUACAACUCCCAAACCCACUGUGAACCUCUACCGUCACGUUGCUUCGGCGGGGUCAGCCCCGGGGUUCGCCCCGGAACCAGGCGCCCGCCGGAGGACCAGAAACAAAACUCUCGUGUAUCGCACGCCUUUGUAUACUCUGAGUGGCUCGCAAGAGCAAAGAAAAAAAAUGAAUCAAAACUUUCAACAACGGAUCUCUUGGUUCUGGCAUCGAUGAAGAACGCAGCGAAAUGCGAUAAGUAAUGUGAAUUGCAGAAUUCAGUGAAUCAUCGAAUCUUUGAACGCACAUUGCGCCCGCCAGUAUUCUGGCGGGCAUGCCUGUCCGAGCGCCAUUUCAACCCUCGAGCACCCCCGGGUGCCCGGCGUUGGGGGACGGCACCGCCCUCGCAGCGGUCCCGCCGCCCCCGAAAUACAGUGGCGGUCUCGCCGCAGCCUCCCCUGCGUAGUAGUGAAAGCAAACUCGCACCGGAGCGCGGCGCGGCCACGCCGUAAAACCCCCCAACCUUACGAAAUGUGGCCUCGGAUCAGGAGGAAAUACCCGCUGAAUUUAACCAUAUCAAUAACCGAGAAGGAGAGAUCAU